UAUUUAACUGGUAUAGUUCGGCAAAAAAAUACCAAGUAAUUGGAGUUUAUUGUAGAUUGGAGAGAGAUAGAUUCUUCCACUUUACAUAGAUUUAUCAUCAGUACAACAAAAAGAGAAAUAAAUUAAAAUACUUUUCUACAUUUGCAUAUAUAAAUGAAAAUCUGGACAUAUUUUGGAUAAUGCUGAUCCAAUAAGUCUACCCCAGGCAGAACCAAUUAAAAGCGAUGGAAUAAAAAGUCCACUGGACAUAGAUAAUCCAAAUGUAAAAACAGCUAGGAAAAAAUAAAGUAUAAUAAAAACAGCUAAGGUAAUAUCAUUGUGGGAACCUAUGAAAAAAGAAAGAAUAUAAAUAUUCUAGCAUUCCAAAAGUUAAUUAUAAAAUAUGUUAUAUUGUUAUGAUGUACCUUUAGGGUCAUGAAAUAAAGAUCUUACACUACUUUCUGGUGUUUGAAACCAUAA
Molecule: unclassified non-coding RNA, 459 nt
Filed under: Polistes fuscatus (common paper wasp)
Lineage: Eukaryota; Metazoa; Arthropoda; Insecta; Hymenoptera; Vespidae
Description: phosphatidylinositol N-acetylglucosaminyltransferase subunit Y, transcript variant X10
Source: RNAcentral